ACUGCUCAGUAACACGUGGACAACCUGCCCUUAGGUUGGGUAUAAACCCGGGAAACUGGGUAUAAUACCCGAUAGGUCUCGAUUGCUGGAAUGCAUCGAGAUUUAAAGCUCCGGCGCCUAAGGAUGGGUCUGCGGCCUAUCAGGUAGUAGUGGGUGUAGCGUACCUACUAGCCUACGACGGGUACGGGUUGUGAGAGCAAGAGCCCGGAGAUGGAUUCUGAGACACGAAUCCAGGCCCUACGGGGUGCAGCAGGCGCGAAAACUUUACAAUGCUGGCAACAGCGAUAAGGGAACCUCGAGUGCCAGGUUACAAAUCUGGCUGUCGAGAUGCCUAAAAAGCAUUUCAUAGCAAGGGCCGGGCAAGACCGGUGCCAGCCGCCGCGGUAACACCGGCGGCUCGAGUGGUAACCGUUAUUAUUGGGUCUAAAGGGUCUGUAGCCGGCCGGAUAAGUCUCUUGAGAAAUCUGGCAGCUUAACUGUCAGGCUUUCAGGAGAUACUGUCUGGCUCGAGGCCGGGAGAGGUGAGAGGUACUUCAGGGGUAGGGGUGAAAUCUUGUAAUCCUUGAAGGACCACCAGUGGCGAAGGCGUCUCACCAGAACGGACCUGACGGCAAGGGACGAAAGCUAGGGGCACGAACCGGAUUAGAUACCCGGGUAGUCCUAGCCGUAAACGAUACUCGCUAGGUGUCGGCCACGGUGCGACCGUUGUCGGUGCCGUAGGGAAGCCGUGAAGCGAGCCACCUGGGGAAGUACGGCCGCAAGGCUGAAACUUAAAGGAAUUGGCGGGGGAGCAC
This 794-nucleotide ribosomal RNA is filed under the name uncultured archaeon. Its description in RNAcentral is "bacterial SSU rRNA". It matches the Rfam family "Archaeal small subunit ribosomal RNA", at positions 85 to 879 of the family's 1478-position model. The record is from RNAcentral.